Molecule: ribosomal RNA, 253 nt
Filed under: uncultured bacterium
Lineage: Bacteria
Description: partial 16S ribosomal RNA
Rfam family: Bacterial small subunit ribosomal RNA
Source: RNAcentral
UACGUAGGUGGCAAGCGUUGUCCGGAUUUACUGGGCGUAAAGGGCGCGUAGGCGGCCACGCACGUCCGUUGUGAAAUCGCCCGGCUCAACUGGGCGGGGUCAGCGGAUACGGUGUGGCUCGAGCAAGCUAGGGGGCAAUGGAAUUCCCGGUGUAGUGGUGGAAUGCGUAGAUAUCGGGAGGAACACCAGUGGCGAAGGCGGUUGCCUGGAGCUUUGCUGACGCUGAUGCGCGAAAGCGUGGGGAGCGAUCCGG